This 490-nucleotide ribosomal RNA is filed under the name uncultured bacterium. RNAcentral describes it as "partial 16S ribosomal RNA". It matches the Rfam family "Bacterial small subunit ribosomal RNA", at positions 30 to 507 of the family's 1533-position model. The record is from RNAcentral.
AUUGAACGCUGGCGGCAGGCCUAACACAUGCAAGUCGAACGGUAACAGGAAGAAGCUUGCUUCUUUGCUGACGAGUGGCGGACGGGUGAGUAAUGUCUGGGAAACUGCCUGAUGGAGGGGGAUAACUACUGGAAACGGUAGCUAAUACCGCAUAACGUCGCAAGACCAAAGAGGGGGACCUUCGGGCCUCUUGCCAUCGGAUGUGCCCAGAUGGGAUUAGCUAGUAGGUGGGGUAACGGCUCACCUAGGCGACGAUCCCUAGCUGGUCUGAGAGGAUGACCAGCCAGACUGGAACUGAGACACGGUCCAGACUCCUACGGGAGGCAGCAGUGGGGAAUAUUGCACAAUGGGCGCAAGCCUGAUGCAGCCAUGCCGCGUGUAUGAAGAAGGCCUUCGGGUUGUAAAGUACUUUCAGCGGGGAGGAAGGGAGUAAAGUUAAUACCUUUGCUCAUUGACGUUACCCGCAGAAGAAGCACCGGCUAACUCCGUG